This 568-nucleotide small RNA is filed under the name Pan troglodytes (chimpanzee). Its description in RNAcentral is "retained intron". The record is from RNAcentral. Lineage: Eukaryota; Metazoa; Chordata; Mammalia; Primates; Hominidae.
GCCACCCUGCCACCAUCACUCUGCAGCCCGGGUCAUCCAGCUGCCCGCCCCCAGCCCCGAAGCUUGUCAGGCCUGGAUCAGCAGGGCUUCUCACCAGAGGCCCGGGCAUGUUCUUGUUCCAGGAGGCAGAAACCAUCAUCCAGAAAAUCAAGCAGCAGCAGUACGCAGACCUCCUGUCCCACGACCAGCUGCUCACAGAGAGGAGGGAGCAGAAGGUCUUCCUACACUUCGAGGAGGAAGAAAUCACGUUUGCCCCAACCUACCGUUUUGAGAGACUGACUCGGGACAAAUACGCCUACACCAAGCAGAAAGCGACAGGGAUGAAGUACAACUUGCCUUCCUGGUGUGACCGAGUCCUCUGGAAGUCUUAUCCCCUGGUGCACGUGGUGUGUCAGUCUUAUGGCAGUACCAGCGACAUCAUGACGAGUGACCACAGCCCUGUCUUUGCCACAUUUGAGGCAGGAGUCACUUCCCAGUUUGUCUCCAAGAAUGGUCCCGGGACUGUUGACAGCCAAGGACAGAUUGAGUUUCUCAGGUGCUAUGCCACAUUGAAGACCAAGUCCCAGAC